Benincasa hispida (wax gourd) is the source of this 543-nucleotide long non-coding RNA. RefSeq lists it as uncharacterized. NCBI's taxonomy places the organism in Eukaryota, Viridiplantae, Streptophyta, Magnoliopsida, Cucurbitales, Cucurbitaceae. The record is from RefSeq and is a predicted model, not a curated record.
GAGCAGUUUUGUCGUCGGGGCUGCCGGAGAAGAUGUAACUAGAAGGAAUGGAGGCUAAGUUGGGUGUUUCAGCGAUGGAUUUGACGCUGGCCAUCUUCUCUAAUGAAGCCAUUUCCAGCUUCUUCUUUCAAGUUAAAGGAUGGAUAAUAACUAUUCAGUGAAAAGUUAGAUUGAAAAUUGUUAUGGUCAAGUCUUGAAGGAUAGGGGCACUCAAAAGCACCGUUGCCAACGGUGCAAUCUAUGGUCAUAAUCCAAAUUUCCGUGACUAUUUUCCUUCUUCUCCAGUACAGAACAUAAAUUCAUUCUUAGAAGAUAUUCUCAAAACUAGCCUUAUUUUGUACUCUUAUUCAUUUUUAGGGUUAGUCACCUUAUUAGAAAAGUGUGUAUUCAGAGUUUUGAGCUUAGGGUUUGUCUAAGUCUUAACCUCCAUGUAUUAUUAUUGAAAAACUUUGUAUUUGUCGUUGAGAGUUUUUGGUUCGGCAGUCAUUGUAGAACUCAAAAGGAGAUUUAUUUUAUAUUUUAUUUAGGGGGAGCCUAGCUUAC